This 503-nucleotide ribosomal RNA is filed under the name Nematostella vectensis (starlet sea anemone). RNAcentral describes it as "Eukaryotic small subunit ribosomal RNA". It matches the Rfam family "Eukaryotic small subunit ribosomal RNA", at positions 606 to 1116 of the family's 1831-position model. Lineage: Eukaryota; Metazoa; Cnidaria; Anthozoa; Actiniaria; Edwardsiidae. The record is from Rfam by way of RNAcentral.
AAAGUUGUUGCAGUUAAAAAGCUCGUAGUUGGAUUUCGGGACGGCACGGUCGGUCCGCCGCAAGGUGUGUCACUUGCCGGGCUGUUCUUCCUCGCAAAGACUGCGUGUGCUCUUAGCUGAGUGUGCGCAGGACUUGCGACGUUUACUUUGAAAAAAUUAGAGUGUUCAAAGCAGGCCAUCGCUUGAAUACAUAAGCAUGGAAUAAUGGAAUAGGACUUUGGUUCUAUUUUGUUGGUUUCUGGAACCGAAGUAAUGAUUAAGAGGGACUGUUGGGGGCAUUCGUAUUUCGUUGUCAGAGGUGAAAUUCUUGGAUUUACGAAAGACGAACUACUGCAAAAGCAUUUGCCAAGAAUGUUUUCAUUAAUCAAGAACGAAAGUUAGAGGAUCGAAGACGAUCAGAUACCGUCCUAGUUCUAACCAUAAACGAUGCCGACUAGGGAUCAGAGAGUGUUAUUGGAUGACCUCUUUGGCACCUUAUGGGAAACCAAAGUUUUUGGGUUCCG